Papaver somniferum (opium poppy) is the source of this 419-nucleotide long non-coding RNA. RefSeq lists it as uncharacterized. The record is from RefSeq and is a predicted model, not a curated record. NCBI's taxonomy places the organism in Eukaryota, Viridiplantae, Streptophyta, Magnoliopsida, Ranunculales, Papaveraceae. The transcript has 2 exons.
GAUUAGUAUGUCUAAAGGAUGCAUAAAAGCUUAUUAAUGUAUAUUCAUAUUGUCGCUGCUUCAUGCUUUUUGCUAGAUCAAAAAGUUAAGUAUGUUUUUUUGUUGUUGGUAACAAAAAAGAUAUUUGCACGGAUUUUAUGAUUAUUAAGGUAACAAAAGAGAUCUUUGCACGGAUUGAUGGUAUGGAUCAAUAGAAUUGUUGUGCUACUACACGGUCUCAAUAGUUCGGGUGGUGACAGAUCUGUCUUUUUAUCGGUUCAAAUAAUUUUUAGCAUGCUUUCUUUUUUUUUGUUUUCCUCCUUCUCGUGAGGUUUGGCAUGUUCCCCUCAUUUUGUUUGUUUUUCCUUUUAUUAAUGAAAUCUCCACGCGAGUUUUUCCAAGAAAAAAAAGAUCAAUAAAAUUGUUGGCGCACUCUCUUA